This 23-nucleotide non-coding RNA is filed under the name Gallus gallus (chicken). The record is from RNAcentral. Lineage: Eukaryota; Metazoa; Chordata; Aves; Galliformes; Phasianidae. RNAcentral also lists the same sequence under 1 other name.
GGUGGUUCUAGACUUGCCAACUA